AGCGUACACGGUGGAUGCCCUGGCAGUCAGAGGCGAUGAAGGACGUGCUAAUCUGCGAUAAGCGUCGGUAAGGUGAUAUGAACCGUUAUAACCGGCGAUUUCCGAAUGGGGAAACCCAGUGUGAUUCGUCACACUAUCAUUAACUGAAUCCAUAGGUUAAUGAGGCGAACCGGGGGAACUGAAACAUCUAAGUACCCCGAGGAAAAGAAAUCAACCGAGAUUCCCCCAGUAGCGGCGAGCGAACGGGGAGCAGCCCAGAGCCUGAAUCAGUGUGUGUGUUAGUGGAAGCGUCUGGAAAGGCGUGCGAUACAGGGUGACAGCCCCGUACACAAAAAUGCACAUAUUGUGAGCUCGAUGAGUAGGGCGGGACACGUGGUAUCCUGUCUGAAUAUGGGGGGACCAUCCUCCAAGGCUAAAUACUCCUGACUGACCGAUAGUGAACCAGUACCGUGAGGGAAAGGCGAAAAGAACCCCGGCGAGGGGAGUGAAAAAGAACCUGAAACCGUGUACGUACAAGCAGUGGGAGCACGCUUAGGCGUGUGACUGCGUACCUUUUGUAUAAUGGGUCAGCGACUUAUAUUCUGUAGCAAGGUUAACCGAAUAGGGGAGCCGAAGGGAAACCGAGUCUUAACUGGGCGUUAAGUUGCAGGGUAUAGACCCGAAACCCGGUGAUCUAGCCAUGGGCAGGUUGAAGGUUGGGUAACACUAACUGGAGGACCGAACCGACUAAUGUUGAAAAAUUAGCGGAUGACUUGUGGCUGGGGGUGAAAGGCCAAUCAAACCGGGAGAUAGCUGGUUCUCCCCGAAAGCUAUUUAGGUAGCGCCUCGUGAAUUCAUCUCCGGGGGUAGAGCACUGUUUCGGCAAGGGGGUCAUCCCGACUUACCAACCCGAUGCAAACUGCGAAUACCGGAGAAUGUUAUCACGGGAGACACACGGCGGGUGCUAACGUCCGUCGUGAAGAGGGAAACAACCCAGACCGCCAGCUAAGGUCCCAAAGUCAUGGUUAAGUGGGAAACGAUGUGGGAAGGCCCAGACAGCCAGGAUGUUGGCUUAGAAGCAGCCAUCAUUUAAAGAAAGCGUAAUAGCUCACUGGUCGAGUCGGCCUGCGCGGAAGAUGUAACGGGGCUAAACCAUGCACCGAAGCUGCGGCAGCGACGCUGAUGCGUUGUUGGGUAGGGGAGCGUUCUGUAAGCCUGCGAAGGUGUGCUGUGAGGCAUGCUGGAGGUAUCAGAAGUGCGAAUGCUGACAUAAGUAACGAUAAAGCGGGUGAAAAGCCCGCUCGCCGGAAGACCAAGGGUUCCUGUCCAACGUUAAUCGGGGCAGGGUGAGUCGACCCCUAAGGCGAGGCCGAAAGGCGUAGUCGAUGGGAAACAGGUUAAUAUUCCUGUACUUGGUGUUACUGCGAAGGGGGGACGGAGAAGGCUAUGUUGGCCGGGCGACGGUUGUCCCGGUUUAAGCGUGUAGGCUGGUUUUCCAGGCAAAUCCGGAAAAUCAAGGCUGAGGCGUGAUGACGAGGCACUACGGUGCUGAAGCAACAAAUGCCCUGCUUCCAGGAAAAGCCUCUAAGCAUCAGGUAACAUCAAAUCGUACCCCAAACCGACACAGGUGGUCAGGUAGAGAAUACCAAGGCGCUUGAGAGAACUCGGGUGAAGGAACUAGGCAAAAUGGUGCCGUAACUUCGGGAGAAGGCACGCUGAUAUGUAGGUGAAGUCCCUCGCGGAUGGAGCUGAAAUCAGUCGAAGAUACCAGCUGGCUGCAACUGUUUAUUAAAAACACAGCACUGUGCAAACACGAAAGUGGACGUAUACGGUGUGACGCCUGCCCGGUGCCGGAAGGUUAAUUGAUGGGGUCAGCGCAAGCGAAGCUCUUGAUCGAAGCCCCGGUAAACGGCGGCCGUAACUAUAACGGUCCUAAGGUAGCGAAAUUCCUUGUCGGGUAAGUUCCGACCUGCACGAAUGGCGUAAUGAUGGCCAGGCUGUCUCCACCCGAGACUCAGUGAAAUUGAACUCGCUGUGAAGAUGCAGUGUACCCGCGGCAAGACGGAAAGACCCCGUGAACCUUUACUAUAGCUUGACACUGAACAUUGAGCCUUGAUGUGUAGGAUAGGUGGGAGGCUUUGAAGUGUGGACGCCAGUCUGCAUGGAGCCGACCUUGAAAUACCACCCUUUAAUGUUUGAUGUUCUAACGUUGACCCGUAAUCCGGGUUGCGGACAGUGUCUGGUGGGUAGUUUGACUGGGGCGGUCUCCUCCUAAAGAGUAACGGAGGAGCACGAAGGUUGGCUAAUCCUGGUCGGACAUCAGGAGGUUAGUGCAAUGGCAUAAGCCAGCUUGACUGCGAGCGUGACGGCGCGAGCAGGUGCGAAAGCAGGUCAUAGUGAUCCGGUGGUUCUGAAUGGAAGGGCCAUCGCUCAACGGAUAAAAGGUACUCCGGGGAUAACAGGCUGAUACCGCCCAAGAGUUCAUAUCGACGGCGGUGUUUGGCACCUCGAUGUCGGCUCAUCACAUCCUGGGGCUGAAGUAGGUCCCAAGGGUAUGGCUGUUCGCCAUUUAAAGUGGUACGCGAGCUGGGUUUAGAACGUCGUGAGACAGUUCGGUCCCUAUCUGCCGUGGGCGCUGGAGAACUGAGGGGGGCUGCUCCUAGUACGAGAGGACCGGAGUGGACGCAUCACUGGUGUUCGGGUUGUCAUGCCAAUGGCACUGCCCGGUAGCUAAAUGCGGAAGAGAUAAGUGCUGAAAGCAUCUAAGCACGAAACUUGCCCCGAGAUGAGUUCUCCCUGACUCCUUGA
This 2787-nucleotide ribosomal RNA is filed under the name Escherichia coli. RNAcentral describes it as "bacterial LSU rRNA". It matches the Rfam family "Bacterial large subunit ribosomal RNA". Lineage: Bacteria; Pseudomonadati; Pseudomonadota; Gammaproteobacteria; Enterobacterales; Enterobacteriaceae. The record is from RNAcentral.